ACUCCCCACCCUGGGAGUGGCAGAUGUGGCUGUGUCACACGCGUGUCAGAAGGCAGCAGAGGGGAGAGCGGCUAUGUCUCUUCUCCGUGUUCUAACCUGUGAAGAUCUCAAUGAUUAGUGGCCUAACAUU
Small nucleolar RNA from Psammomys obesus (fat sand rat), 130 nucleotides. RefSeq annotates it as small nucleolar RNA SNORA17. The transcript has a single exon. Lineage: Eukaryota; Metazoa; Chordata; Mammalia; Rodentia; Muridae. The record is from RefSeq and is a predicted model, not a curated record.